This 356-nucleotide ribosomal RNA is filed under the name uncultured bacterium. RNAcentral describes it as "bacterial SSU rRNA". It matches the Rfam family "Bacterial small subunit ribosomal RNA", at positions 8 to 353 of the family's 1533-position model. The record is from RNAcentral.
AGAGUUUGAUCCUGGCUCAGGAUGAACGCUAGCUACAGGCUUAACACAUGCAAGUCGAGGGGAAACGACAUCGAAAGCUUGCUUUUGAUGGGCGUCGACCGGCGCACGGGUGAGUAACGCGUAUCCAACCUGCCCACCACUUGGGGAUAACCUUGCGAAAGUAAGACUAAUACCCAAUGAUAUCUCUAGAAGACAUCUGAAAGAGAUUAAAGAUUUAUCGGUGAUGGAUGGGGAUGCGUCUGAUUAGCUUGUUGGCGGGGUAACGGCCCACCAAGUCGACGAUCAGUAGCCGGACUGAGAGGUUGACCGGCCACAUUGGGACUGAGAUGCGGCCCAGACUCCUACGGGAGGCAGCA